CGGUUUUAAGAUCAGACAAAAUACAAAGUAGUUUACUAAAGCAGUUCUCAUUUCAGGUGUUGUAUAUUUAUCCCUUCUUUGAGUCUCUCCACUAAGCGCUAAGUAGUUUCUGUAAUAAAACCAUGUUCGCCGGAAGGCCAAAUUAAGGAAUGAAAAUGUCAAAUAAAAUGACUGGUUUAGUAAAAUGGUUUAAUGCUGAUAAGGGAUUCGGUUUUAUCUCUCCUGCAGAUGGUAGUAAAGAUGUGUUUGUUCAUUUCUCUGCUAUCCAGAGCGAUAAUUUCCGCACCUUGUUUGAAGGCCAAAAAGUCUCAUUCUCCAUUGAGAAUGGUGCUAAAGGUCCGGUUGCCGGCAGUGUAGUUA
RNAcentral lists this small RNA (360 nucleotides) under Citrobacter youngae. RNAcentral's name for it is "cspA thermoregulator". It matches the Rfam family "cspA thermoregulator", at positions 1 to 365 of the family's 428-position model. The record is from RNAcentral. Lineage: Bacteria; Pseudomonadati; Pseudomonadota; Gammaproteobacteria; Enterobacterales; Enterobacteriaceae.